RNAcentral lists this long non-coding RNA (299 nucleotides) under Carica papaya (papaya). Its description in RNAcentral is "long non-coding RNA (CPAP_LNC014832)". The record is from RNAcentral. Lineage: Eukaryota; Viridiplantae; Streptophyta; Magnoliopsida; Brassicales; Caricaceae.
GAGUGGCGCAGCAAAAACAUAGUGUGGAACCAUAACCAACCAUACGUAUGAAAGAUUUCUCUCGGGACUGACAAAGAGAAAUUGUUGAUGGAAUAAACAUGAGACUCAUGCCCUAAGACUGUACUCUUGGAUGAUCACACGAAAAUCAAGGAAGCCAAAAGAGUAUCAUACCUAGUCUUAGAAGAAUUAUACUUGACAUUUGGCUUCCUAUAAUAUGGGUUGUUACAGGUUUGGAGUUUUAAAUUAUUCUUAUUAAGUACUGAGUAUAUGUGGCUCACUUUUCUUUAUUAUUUUUAGAG